Non-coding RNA from Desulfovibrio sp. 6_1_46AFAA, 379 nucleotides. It matches the Rfam family "transfer-messenger RNA". From Rfam's summary of the family: Bacterial tmRNA, also known as 10Sa RNA or SsrA, is named for its dual tRNA and mRNA-like properties. Its role is to liberate the mRNA from a stalled ribosome. To accomplish this part of the tmRNA is used as a reading frame that ends in a translation stop signal. Lineage: Bacteria; Pseudomonadati; Thermodesulfobacteriota; Desulfovibrionia; Desulfovibrionales; Desulfovibrionaceae. The record is from Rfam.
GGGGGCGCACUGGUUUCGACGUGGAUGUAGAAGCCGGAGCGGCAGGCCGAGGCGCCGCUGGCCUCGUAAAAAAGCGGCAACACAGUAAUUGCCAACAACGAUUACGACUACGCUUACGCUGCCUAGUCAGCGAGGCAACUGACCGCAUAGCCGGUCGCGCUACUCGGGACCACGCCUGAUAAUCCCGAGCGGCGACAUUUAUCAGGCUGGCGGAAACCGGCGCUCGCCGGGGUUUUCCGUGAGACUGUCACCGGCGGGCUUGCCGCGUUGCGCCUGGUCAGGGGCCACCAGCGCGGCGAGAUUUAAUCCUGGCCUAAGCCUGUAGAUGCUUCGCGUGGAGUAUUCGCGGACGGGGGUUCGAUUCCCCCCGCCUCCACCA